CCUACGGGAGGCAGCAGUGAGGAAUAUUGGUCAAUGGACGAGAGUCUGAACCAGCCAAGUAGCGUGAAGGAUGACUGCCCUAUGGGUUGUAAACUUCUUUUAUAAAGGAAUAAAACGAGGCACGUGUGCCUUUUUGCAUGUACUUUAUGAAUAAGGAUCGGCUAACUCCGUGCCAGCAGCCGCGGUAAUACGGAGGAUCCGAGCGUUAUCCGGAUUUAUUGGGUUUAAAGGGAGCGUAGAUGGGUUGUUAAGUCAGUUGUGAAAGUUUGGGGCUCAACCGUAAAAUUGCAAUUGAAACUGGCAGUCUUGAGUACAGUUGGGGUAGGCGGAAUUCGUGGUGUAGCAGUGAAAUGCUUAGAUAUCACGAAGAACCCCGAUUGCGAAGGCAGCUUACUAAACUGUGACUGACAUUGAUGCACGAAGGUGUGGGUAUCAAACGGGAUUAGAUACCCGAGUAGUC
Molecule: ribosomal RNA, 460 nt
Filed under: uncultured bacterium
Lineage: Bacteria
Description: partial 16S ribosomal RNA
Rfam family: Bacterial small subunit ribosomal RNA
Source: RNAcentral